UACAGAGGGUGCGAGCGUUAAUCGGAAUUACUGGGCGUAAAGCGCGCGUAGGCGGCUUUGCAAGUCGGGUGUGAAAUCCCCAGGCUUAACCUGGGAACUGCAUUCGAGACUGCAUUGCUAGAGUAUGGGAGAGGGAAGUGGAAUUUCCGGUGUAGCGGUGAAAUGCGUAGAUAUACGGAGGAACACCAGCGGCGAAGGCGGGUAGCUGGGCCAACACUGACGCUGAUGUGCGAAAGCGUGGGGAGCGAUCCGG
RNAcentral lists this ribosomal RNA (253 nucleotides) under uncultured bacterium. RNAcentral describes it as "partial 16S ribosomal RNA". It matches the Rfam family "Bacterial small subunit ribosomal RNA", at positions 524 to 776 of the family's 1533-position model. The record is from RNAcentral.